Molecule: non-coding RNA, 93 nt
Filed under: Vibrio sp.
Lineage: Bacteria; Pseudomonadati; Pseudomonadota; Gammaproteobacteria; Vibrionales; Vibrionaceae
Description: c-di-GMP sequence
Rfam family: c-di-GMP-I-GGC riboswitch aptamer
Source: RNAcentral
AUAAAAAACGCCAAACUUAUCGUGAGGUAAGGACGGAAAGCCACGGGUCUCAAACGGAUUUGAGUUGUACCUGAGACAGCCGGGUUGCAGUAC